RNAcentral lists this ribosomal RNA (440 nucleotides) under uncultured bacterium. Its description in RNAcentral is "partial 16S ribosomal RNA". It matches the Rfam family "Bacterial small subunit ribosomal RNA", at positions 338 to 795 of the family's 1533-position model. The record is from RNAcentral.
CCUACGGGAGGCAGCAGUGGGGAAUAUUGCACAAUGGGGGAAACCCUGAUGCAGCGACGCCGCGUGAGUGAAGAAGUAUUUCGGUACGUAAAGCUCUAUCAGCAGGGAAGAAAAUGACGGUACCUGACUAAGAUGCCCCGGCUAACUACGUGCCAGCAGCCGCGGUAAUACGUAGGGUGCCAGCGUUAUCCGGAUUUACUGGGUGUAAAGGGAGCGUAGACGGGAGCGCAAGUCAGAAGUGAAAUGCCUUGGCUUAACCAUAAAAUUGCAUUGGAAACUGUUAAGCUGGAGUGCAGGAGAGGUAAGCGGAAUUCCUAGUGUAGCGGUGAAAUGCGUAGAUAUUAGGAGGAACACCAAUGGCGAAGGCAGCUUACUGGACUGUAACUGACGUUGAGGCUCGAAAGCGUGGGGAGCAAACAGGAUUAGAUACCCGUGUAGUC